Molecule: long non-coding RNA, 871 nt
Organism: Erinaceus europaeus (western European hedgehog)
Lineage: Eukaryota; Metazoa; Chordata; Mammalia; Eulipotyphla; Erinaceidae
Exons: 3
Source: RefSeq, a predicted model, not a curated record
UCCCCCCACAGCCCCAGAGUAGUAGAUAGUUUUACUGCCAUUGCACCAAUGAGAAAACAGAGGCACAGAGAGUGAAAUGACUUGCAAAGGACUCAGGAACCCAGGGCUCUGACACUCUAGAGUACUCUCCACUUUGCCUUGCUUUUCCUCUGGGUCUCCUACAUGCUUUUCUUCCACACUGAAAACAAGAUGGUUGAAGAAAAGCCAUGGAAGAUCAAGAAUCAAGGAUGAUGAUGCUUCUCAGGGUUCUCUGGACUGUAGGUUCCCAAGCCAAGCUGGGUAUUGGCAUUGCUCCUGCACUUUAUUUAAAACCCAGUUGCCUGGGCCCCACCUCAGACAUACUGGACCCAAGUCAGGGGCUUGCUUUCAGUAAUCUGAGUUUCCAAAAGCCUCUGCAAUUGGUUCUGGUGUGCAGCUAUGUUGUGGAGACUCUGCUCUGUGCAUGGUGUCUUUUCCUUUGGUUUUCUGGUUGGGAGAGCCAGCAGUAGCGCAGGUCUUGUGGCCUGUCAUGGGGCAGUGAUCCCAGAGGCUCAGAGCUUGGCCAUGGCACGACUCACUUUCACGUCACAGGCAGCAGCCCUUAGAGAAGAGAAGAGAGUCAGACCCUUGCGGCAAAGAGGAAGUCACUGCACCCUCCUCGCUCUCCUCUCUGUGGUGGCCUUGCUGGUGUAAUUUUACAUCACUUCUCCUGGAACACGUGCUGGAAUGGAAACACCAGAUACAGGAGUCUGAUCGCCCAUCUUAGAUGGACCUUGAAAAAUUCAUGUCAAGUGAAAUAAGUCAGAAACAGAAGGAUGAAUAUGGGAUGAUCUCACUCUCAGGAAGAAGUUGAAAAAUAAGAUCAGAAAAGAAAACACAAGUAGAACCUGAA